AUUUGUGUUAUCGUUCGCUGCUUUGCGCAGUCUUGCUACUUUCGCAACCCUAUGGUCUCUGGUUCUCUCCUAGUUUCUAUGGCCUUGGUUCUGCUAUUAUUGGUACCCCCAGCUAUUGUUUUUGGUGAUGAUGCCAUGCACUUCUUGUUUUUGGGUCGGAGAUGGCUUGACCUUCCUCAUUGCGAGCUGUCAAUUUGAGGAAACUGACCAUGCG
This 214-nucleotide unclassified non-coding RNA is filed under the name Hevea brasiliensis (rubber tree). The record is from RNAcentral. Lineage: Eukaryota; Viridiplantae; Streptophyta; Magnoliopsida; Malpighiales; Euphorbiaceae.